Molecule: transfer RNA, 77 nt
Filed under: Anaerocolumna jejuensis DSM 15929
Lineage: Bacteria; Bacillati; Bacillota; Clostridia; Lachnospirales; Lachnospiraceae
Description: tRNA_Arg_CCT
Rfam family: tRNA
About the family: Transfer RNA (tRNA) molecules are approximately 80 nucleotides in length. Their secondary structure includes four short double-helical elements and three loops (D, anti-codon, and T loops). Further hydrogen bonds mediate the characteristic L-shaped molecular structure. tRNAs have two regions of fundamental functional importance: the anti-codon, which is responsible for specific mRNA codon recognition, and the 3' end, to which the tRNAs corresponding amino acid is attached (by aminoacyl-tRNA synthetases). tRNAs cope with the degeneracy of the genetic code in two manners: having more than one tRNA (with a specific anti-codon) for a particular amino acid; and 'wobble' base-pairing, i.e. permitting non-standard base-pairing at the 3rd anti-codon position.
Source: RNAcentral
GUUCUCGUAGCUCAGCAGGAUAGAGCGAUCGCCUCCUAAGCGAUAGGUCGCACGUUCAAAUCGUGUCGGGAACGCGA